GUCUUCGUGGUGUAGUGGUUACCACGCUCAACGCGUAAUGGAGAGGUCCGUGGUUCAAUUCCCGGCGAAGGUG
Stegodyphus mimosarum is the source of this 73-nucleotide non-coding RNA. NCBI's taxonomy places the organism in Eukaryota, Metazoa, Arthropoda, Arachnida, Araneae, Eresidae. The record is from Rfam.